AUGGGCAGUCUGGCUACCUCAAGCAGAAUUUUGUACAAUACUUCAUACCAUUCUUCCCUGGGGUGUACACCUUACAAAGCUCUGUAUGGUUAUGCUCCUAAUAUGGGACAGUUGAGAGGACAUCCAACUUCUCUCAAUCCUGAUGUUAAUACCUGGCUGGCCACUCACACUCAGCAUACAGCAGCACUCAGAGAACAUUUGGCCAGAGCUCAGUGCAAAUAUAAGCACUAUGCUGACAAGAAACGCUCCGAAAGGGAGUUUUCUACUGGCGAAAUGGUGUAUUUGAGGUUACAACCCUACGCUCAGUCCACAGUGGUGAAUCGUCCUUGUCGCAAACUUGCACUGAAGUAUUUUGGGCCUUAUAAAAUUAUGGAGAAGAUUGGAGCAGCAGCUUAUCGUUUGGAAUUACCACGAGGCAGUCAGAUCCACCCAGUUUUCCAUGUAUCUCAACUGAAGAACCAUGUACCUGAUCAUACGCCAGUGUUUGCAUCGUUGCCGGUUCCGAUCGAUCUUUCUGCUCCUGGGGUUUUACCUGAAGAAAUUCUCGAUCGCCGACUGGUCAAAAAGGGCAACACCUCUCAGUUGCAAGUGUUGAUUAAGUGGGCAACGAUACCUGCAGCUUCGGCCACCCGGGAGGACUAUGAUGUGCCGAAACAACGAUUUCCAGAUGCACCAGCAUGGGGACACGCUGGUUCUUCAGGGGCGGGUACUGUAAGUGCAGAGGCGAUGGCACUAGGUUCAGGAAGAGCGGGCUGGCGCGAGAAGUGGCGCAGGAGCCCUGGCGUAAGCGGGAAGAUUUGA
Molecule: ribosomal RNA, 801 nt
Filed under: Triticum aestivum (bread wheat)
Lineage: Eukaryota; Viridiplantae; Streptophyta; Magnoliopsida; Poales; Poaceae
Description: partial small subunit ribosomal RNA
Source: RNAcentral